GAUUUGCUGAAAUGUUAAGGCAUCACCUUCAGUCUUAUGCGCAGUGUACACUGGAUAGAUAUUCCAUUUCAGAGGUUCUGUAUUCCUCAGAGAAAGACAAAAAAAGAGAGGGUGUGAGGGAGAGCGAGAUUGGAAUGGAGAAAGACAUAAUGAGAGAAAGAGAAAGAGGAAGAGAGAGAGAGAGAGAGAGAGAGAGAGAGAGAGAGAGAGAGAGAGAGGCGAUUCAUCAGAAGUCUCCAGGGUAUAGCAGUGUCUCAGAGAUUUGCAAAGUGAUAUUGUAAUCAUAACGAGAGUCCACUUUCCCCGAGCCCUUGGGGAAUCCGUCUCACUGAGCGCGCUCAUGUUCACACGGCCAGAAGCGUGUCAAACAAACUCAAGUCAACACACGAGGCGUCAACACCGAUUACAUUACAUUCAUUUUACCGCUGUAAUUUAGGUGGAACAACCACGCCAUUUAGUUGUGUGUUUGCCAAAUUAAAGUCCCAAUUAACUACAAGGCAUAACCCUCCCCGAAGAAUCAUCUUAACCAUAUUUAUAAAGGCGUUUUAAUUUAGUGCACACAAGAUUAUUUUAAUUCCGUGUGUACACCAAAACGAAGGGUAAUUCAGAUGUCUUAAAUCAUAAUUAUAUACAUUUCAGUUUGGUUUCGAACUCUGUAAUUUGAUUCAUGAACCAUGCAAAUAGUGUAAUUACACGUUAGUCGCAUUAAUGGUCACUGGGAACUGGCUCACGCUCUGUCUGUGAAUGUAGCCCUCUUUUCUCUUCCGACGUCGACAUCAACCCUGCACAGCAGAGGACUGUGGCUGACUAGGCCCUGACUUGGCAAAGAGCUAUUCUGUAGUCAACUAUAAUUUGGAACAUGUCUUCGUAAAACCAUUCGGAAACAGUCUCAAAAUCAUUACACUCAAGAUCAUUAUAUCUCUAUUUAUUAUAUUUAAUAAUUAUAUUUUAUUUUACCCCUGUGUGAAGAUGCUGUACGACACGACUCAAACUCGCGUUGGUUUCCUGCCCCCCUACUGAGGCCCCCUGUGGUGCCCGACCUGCCUUUCAAUAAGACAGCACACAUCAGGAGACAGACACACACACACACACACACACACACACAUCAGGAGACUGACACACACACACACACACACACACACACACACACAUCAGGAGACUGACACACACACACACACACACACACACACACACAUCAGGAGACUGACACACACACACACACAUCAGGAGACAGACACACACACACACACAUCAGGAGACAGACACACACACACACACGCACACAUCAGGAGACUGACACACACACACAUCAGGAGACAGACACACACACACAUCAGGAGACAGACACACACACACAUCAAGAGACAGACACACACACACAUCAGGAGACAGACAUACACACACAUCAGGAGACACACUUUUGGGAAUGUAGCUUCGUUGAAGGACACCAGUAGAGGAUGAAAGCGUUUUAAAUAUAUAAUCAAACUAAACACCGUUUGAAGGCAUUCACAAAUAGUGCUGUUGAUUCAGAACAAAAGUUGCAGAGAUGAGUGUUACUGUUGCCAAGUAUUUGGCAGGUUUAAGAAAGAAUGCCAGCCUUGUCGCCACCAAACAAACUCUCUGUCUCUGGUCGUCAGAGAGCUGUAGUUGUAUCUGGCUGUAGUAGACUAGUAAUGCCCCCUGACCACAACAGAGAAACUUGUGUGAGAUGUCAGUUAGAGGGGCCUGAACAUCCCUUGUAUACACAGGUUCUGAUGGAUAGAUGGGUCUCCGUCCGCACUUUGUUCUUUUAACCGUCCCGAGCUGAUUAGGCACCGCAUUCCUUUCAAUCUCCAUCAAGUGCCACUCUCUAGCGUUCUACUUCACUUUUUGCCGUCGAGAGAUAUUAAUCAGAUUUUGAUCUAUGUAAAUGUCAUUUUUUUUGCUAGAUGCCAGAGAAAUAUCUCUCCAACGUAGACACGUUGAAUCUAAUUUAGCCGAACAUCCACCUCGCGGAUAAGCACCGGGCUCAUCUCUAUGCAGGAAGUGGCGUCUCCUUCUCAUUCGUUUUCUGGCCGAUGUUGUGCGCGUGUGAUGAAUCUCUGGACUCUCCUAAUGACAUGUCACUCGCUGAUGAAACCAUUAAAGGCACCUUGCCUAAUUUCCGCCGUGAUGAAAGAAGCGAGCCAGUUUGGAAAUUUAUGAUUUUAUUUAUCUGAGAUCACCAAAGAGCCGGACAUAAUUCAGCAGCACCAUCAGAUUUCUCUCCUUCAGAUUUGCUGUGUACCAUCUGAGGUGCUGUUGAUGAAGGAAGCUAUUCUACAUUCAGUGGUGCUCAGACAGGGAGAAGCUAAAGUAGAUGUGAUCACUCAGAGUCAGGUUUAGUGCUCGGAGUAGCUGUGGAUUUUAUUACAAACCUGGAGAUCUUCAGAUUUCACUGGAACAUGAAAAUACAGUAUGCCAACUCUCCCCUCAUGCAGAUAUAUUCACAAUAUGCACUGGGUACAAAUACAUUGGAUAGUUGCUAUGACGACCACCAUAUCAUAUGAUUGGAUAUAAGGAUUUUAUGAUGAAACAGGGAUGAUUUAUAAGGGCAGGUUAACACAAAAUGCAGCAUACAAAAAUAUUCUUAUGGCUGAACAGUUAAACUAUUUACCUUUGGCAAGUGCUCCUGUAACACUGAGAGAUAGUAUAUAUAUAUUCUAUAUAUAUAUAUAUAUAGAAGUAUUGCAUCUUGCUUUUGUUUCAUUGGCGAACACUUGUGGACAGCAUCUAGUUUUUGAACAUGAAAUUCUAAUCAGUGAUUGAUUGACUGGGCAUAUUUUGAAGUGCAUUAUCUCUUUUAAAUGUGAUAUGAACCUCGCAGAUUCUGAUGUUUAUUAUAAAUGUAUAAAAAAAUAAUGUUAUGCUUACUUUGCGUUUGUUUUCUAUGGCUAGGAUUGUACAGGUGUGCUGUAAAUAUAUGUAUAUUUAAUAAAAACAGAGGACAUUUUUACAGCUUUAUGUGCAAAGUGCCUGUCACUCGUCUCUUUGUAAGUAAUUAUAAGACACUGUUGAUGUUUUUUGUUUUUGUUUGUUUGUUUUUUUUCACAGUAAAGUAAAUUAAGUUUAAUCAGAGAAUAUGACUCACAGUGAACUCACACGACAAAGAGUUCUCAUAUCCCGCUCGUUCUUCUGCAUUGUUGCUGUUCCUUUGAAAAGAGCCCUGGGGAAACUUGUCUUCCUUGUCCUUACCCUAGCUGACUGUCUCUAGGUAGGGAGGCGGAUUGGACCAAACAGGCCCAGUGGAAGUAGAAGAGAAGGUUUAGCGAGCUUAGGGGUUCUGGGCCUGAGCCUGAGCCAUCUGGUCCGGAAGAGAGAACCGGCUCUGAGUCCCCGCUCUGAUAGAGGGAGGUGUUCAUGACUUCAUCACUUCACUCCGAGGAGCCAAAGGAAAUGAAUGCAUAAGAACAGGAAGUUAAUUAACAAAUAAAUAGGAUGACUGAGAUGCUUUGAAAAAAAAAAAG
Long non-coding RNA from Clupea harengus (Atlantic herring), 3485 nucleotides. NCBI's taxonomy places the organism in Eukaryota, Metazoa, Chordata, Actinopteri, Clupeiformes, Clupeidae. The record is from Ensembl.